UACACAUGCAAGUCGAACGGGCUCUUCGGAGCUAGUGGCGGACGGGUGAGUAACGCGUGAGAAUCUGGCUUCAGGUCGGGGACAACAGCUCGAAAGGGCUGCUAAUACCGGAUAUGCCGAAAGGUGAAAGAUUUAUUGCCUGGAGAUGAGCUCGCGUCAGAUUAGCUUGUUGGUGGGGUAAUGGCCUACCAAGGCGACGAUCUGUAGCUGGUCUGAGAGGAUGAUCAGCCACACUGGGACUGAGACACGGCCCAGACUCCUACGGGAGGCAGCAGUGAGGAAUUUUCCGCAAUGGGCGAAAGCCUGACGGAGUAAUACCGCGUGAGGGACGAAGGUUCUUGGAUUGUAAACCUCUUUUCUCUGGGAAGAUAAUGACGGUACCAGAGGAAUCAGCAUCGGCUAACUCCGUGCCAGCAGCCGCGGUAAUACGGAGGAUGCAAGCGUUAUCCGGAAUUAUUGGGCGUAAAGGGUCCGCAGGUGGUUUAGGAAGUCUACUGUUAAAGCGCGAGGCUCAACUUCGUACAAGCGGUAGAAACUCCUAGACUUGAGGACAGUAGGGGCAGAGGGAAUUCCCAGUGUAGCGGUGAAAUGCAUAGAUAUUGGGAAGAACACCAAUGGCGAAAGCACUCUGCUGGGCUGUUUCUGACACUGAGGGACGAAAGCUAGGGGAGCGAAAGGGAUUAGAUACCCCUGUAGUCCUAGCCGUAAACGAUGGAUACUCGACGUUGCCUUGUUGACCGAGGCAGUGUCCUAGCUAACGCGUUAAGUAUCCCGCCUGGGGAGUACGCACGCAAGUGUGAAACUCAAAGGAAUUGA
Molecule: ribosomal RNA, 816 nt
Filed under: uncultured Cyanobacterium sp.
Lineage: Bacteria; Bacillati; Cyanobacteriota; Cyanophyceae; Chroococcales; Geminocystaceae
Description: bacterial SSU rRNA
Rfam family: Bacterial small subunit ribosomal RNA
Source: RNAcentral